CUGGCAACAGGGCUCUCUUUCUUGGAUGUCUCAGCCAUGACAGAGACUUCUCACAUCACAGCAGUGUCAUGGGAUAUUUACUGUGAAUAGGAAGUCCCACGCCCCCCAGGUUAUAACUCCUCUACAGGAUGGCUGGGGGCUUGAAGAUGUUCUCAAUCACACACUCUGGCUUCUGCAGACCCUAAUGUUGAGGUGAGGACUCCAUCAGCACCUUGGGCCUGAUCCUUGGU
This 230-nucleotide small RNA is filed under the name Pongo abelii (Sumatran orangutan). RNAcentral's name for it is "processed transcript". Lineage: Eukaryota; Metazoa; Chordata; Mammalia; Primates; Hominidae. The record is from RNAcentral.